RNAcentral lists this long non-coding RNA (365 nucleotides) under Pan troglodytes (chimpanzee). RNAcentral's name for it is "long non-coding RNA NONPTRT017249". Lineage: Eukaryota; Metazoa; Chordata; Mammalia; Primates; Hominidae. The record is from RNAcentral.
CUUUUCUGUUCCUCAUUUGUGAAAUAUUGUGAAAAAUAGUCUGUUUGCCUGUCUGAGAACAGUACUGGCACAAAAGUGCUUAAUACACUUCACUCAUUAUUAUUAAUAUUACUAUUGUUGCAUUUUCCCCUUGAAGGCAUGCUUCUGAUGUGAGUUCAGGAGAAGACACUGGCAAGGACAGCAAAGAACAGGAGAACACUCUAGCUUCCCUGAUAGCAUUCAAGGUGCUGUCCAAACUGACUGUGAUGGCACCCUCCAGACAGACAGCGAUGCCACAUGUUCAAGAUGGCAGAAUCACUAUCAGCUUCAAUUCCUGAAUGACUGCAGAGCAAAAUUUCUUACCCGCAACAUACACUCUAUUUUCA